This 310-nucleotide ribosomal RNA is filed under the name Potamonautes sp. 9 SRD-2015. RNAcentral describes it as "partial 16S ribosomal RNA". The record is from RNAcentral. Lineage: Eukaryota; Metazoa; Arthropoda; Malacostraca; Decapoda; Potamonautidae.
UUUUUAAUUAAGAUCUUGUAUGAAUGAUUGAACAAGAGAAAAACUGUCUUUAUAUUAGAGUUUGAAUUUAACUUUUAAGUGAAAAGGCUUAAAUAUUCUAAAGGGACGAUAAGACCCUAUAAAACUUUACAUUGAUAAUUAGUAUAUUAUUUAAUUUUUAUUAUAAUAAUUAGAUUUAAUUUCUUUGUUUUGUUGGGGCGACAAAAGUUAUAAUUUAUAUUAACUGCUUAACAAUGAAACAAAAAUAAGUGAGUAUGUUUAUAGGUCCUUUAUUAAGAUUACAAGAUUAAGUUACUUUAGGGAUAACAGA